AUGACCAAAUACAUAAGGCAAGUGUAUAUAGUUUAUAUUGAUUGGACAUAGUGAUAAAUGACGUUACAUAAGUACUGCUGAUAGGUAUGUACUUUGUGAGCCAGCGGGACUGAUUACAGACUAACCUCCAAGUGGAUCCUGGGUAUCUGUGAGCAGUUAUCUGUUACAACACCCUGUCAUCCCCAGAUUUUAAAAUGCCACUGCAUUAGCUUUCUUUUAGAAGCCAUUUUUUUACAUUUAAAAAUUUUUAAACAAACAUAGUCCAGAAUUUGAAUAGCAUAAGAAAAUUAAGUUUAUUCUGAUGCUUUUUAUUCAAUCUUAUCAGUAGUCUGUGUUGUGCAAAAGGAGGUAAGUUGGCAUUUCAUAUAAAUGCUGUUAGCGGCUGUUGAGAAACUUACACAUCUCUGUUCCUUUUUUCUGUGUUCUUGAUUUAUUCUGUUUUAUAGACUCAUGACCACAGUAUUCCAUUUUUAUUUUAUGAUUUUGACUUAUGUGUUUACCAUAAACUAACCAUAAACUAUCUCCAGUUCCUUAUGGAAGAAGACAGUGUACUAAGCAGUUUUUAACUUGAGAAAUCUGGAGAAAAAAGAUAAGAUUUUAAGUCAUUUCAACUGUGUUCUUCCCCAAUCUCCUCCAUGUUCAUUCUUGUAAUUACAUGUUUUCCUUUCCGGUAAGCCUAUUUUGUUUUAUUAUUUUGCUGUUUUUGUUCCUGACUUUGAAGAUAUGCUUCAGAAUACUAAAAUUCUGAUGAAUUAGGCUUGGAGAACUUGAAUGUCAUGGCUCACCUUCUACAAACUGUGUUCUUCAGUAAGCACUAUGGUUUUGCCAUCUGUUAAAUCAUAUUUACAACUGUCAACUGAUGUUUAUGUACUGAUGAAUUUGUACUUGUGCACAGACUCUUAGAUCUCAGCUGAGUUCUGGAGAAGGAGGAGUUGUGACUGGUACACAGCUAUCACACAGGAAGGCCAGACGUGCCCCUCCUUUAUUUAGAGAAAAUCUCAGAGUGGAUUAUAUGCAUCAGUUAGGAGCUCAGGCUAAGGCAAACCCAGUUCACCAUUCAAGACAUUUUCUACUCUUGCAAACUUUAGAGGACAUUAUAAAAAGCAAAAACUUCAGAUCCAUCCCUGCCUCAAAUCAAGCCAGGAAAAAAGGAUUCUUCAGGAUACGGUGGUGGGAACAAGGAAGCAGGACUGACUAUGUCUGAAAGCGUUCAGCAAGCAGAGGGGAAAAGCAGAGGGGCGCAGCCCUCAGGGAGCGGAUUAAAGUCACAUUCUCAGAAAACAGAGCUGGAAGUUAAGAUGAGAGACUACAAAGACAGCAGGAAGAGGAAGUCUUCAAACUUAGUCAAGACAAUUAUAUUCUUUGAACCAAGGAACCAUAGGCUCCUGUCACUGAAGAAAAAUCAAAGCAAAUCCACAAAUAAAUAGGAAAAAGAGACACUUGUUCAGGGAUGUCAACAGGAAAAUGAAAAAUUGUAUAAUCAAGUGAAAGAUCUCCAAGAACAAAACAAAAAUGAGGAGCGAAUGUUCAAGGAAAACCAGAGUUUAUUCAGCAAAUUAGUUUCCUUAAAGAAUAUCAAGAAAGAGAAAACCGGUUUAUUGGAAGACCUCAAAAGACUGAAGCAAGACAAGCAAGCUCUUGACACAGACUUGGGAAAAGUGAAGAGAGAGAGGCCAAGCCAGAGAGCAGGUGCGCGCACCACAGGGAGCACGCCCAGCUGGAAUGGGUACUUUAUACUCGUGACUGUGCUGAACUUGAGUUUAAGUGAUAGCAAUUAGAUAAUAUAAGCAAAAUGCUAUUCCUAGAAGUACACUGUAAUUUUAGAAACUUUUAAAAAUUAGUUAUUAAGAGGUAUUUGCAUUUGAUUGGUUUCAGCAGCAAUAACUGCAAGGCUGAAGAAACUCAAAUGUUAUUUUGAAUUCAUGGCGUUGUGUGCCCUCCCAGCCAGACCUGGAUCUUCCAGGGCCUGGUCACCCUUUUUAUCCCUGAGCCUGAAACAUAACCUCUCAAGUGUUUGACAAAUGAACAGACAACACCGUGCUAUGUUUGUAGAAGACACGAGGGUGAAUAUGGCAUUCCUCACUGAGAAAAACAAAGGAGUAAGCUAAAAAUGCAGAAAAGUUUAAUACUAAAAAAAUUAGAAAUAAACAGGUAGGUGCUAGUAAGGGUUUCAGGGAGGAGAAGCGUUUGAGCUGGGUCCUGGCAGGUGGAGGGCCUUGGGAGGGGAGGAGGGAGGCCGUGCAGCUGUGUCUCAUGGGUGUGUCACUGAGUACACCUGUCCUGGGCCACAGGCGGGCAGGGCAUAGGGCCGGAAAGGUCGAUCAGAGGAGCCCUUGUUUGCCAAAGGAAGGGUCUUUUCUCUGUGAUUGUAUGAUCUUCAGUGUAAGAUAUAUACAAAUAAAAUCCAAUAACCUAUUUGUUAAGAAAUGUACUUUCCUCAUCUAUAAAGUAGAAUAAUAAUCAUCGCUCCCAUCAUGUAUUUGUUGUGUUAAAUAAAAUCAUACAAACUGUGAG
Molecule: non-coding RNA, 2514 nt
Organism: Vicugna pacos (alpaca)
Lineage: Eukaryota; Metazoa; Chordata; Mammalia; Artiodactyla; Camelidae
Source: RefSeq, a predicted model, not a curated record